UAGGGAGCCAAGAUCGAGGCCAUAACAUAUAUGUAUGAGACAGUCAAACAUUUCGACAAUUUGCUCCAUGAAAAGCAUGUUUACAAGAUGCAUAAUGUAAAGUUCAGUCUUCAUCCGGGUGAAUUUAAUUUUCGUCAUCUAAAUGGUCCCAUGGAAUUGUGUCUUGACCAACAAACUAUCGUGGAGCCAUACAUUGUUCCAAUUCAAAUGGCGCCAUUCCCAAAACAAAUACUCUUGAACCUUGCUGAUAUUGCCGAGUUGCCAAACAGGACUUUAGUCGACAUUAUGGCUAUUGUAGUCCACUUGGAUACAAUUCAUCGCACAAUGUGGGGACCUUUCAGAAAGAUUGUUAUAAUGGAUGCUAGAGGGUAUUUACAUAUCAUUAAAGUUUGG
This 393-nucleotide unclassified non-coding RNA is filed under the name Zea mays. Its description in RNAcentral is "misc RNA Zm00001eb286390". The record is from RNAcentral. Lineage: Eukaryota; Viridiplantae; Streptophyta; Magnoliopsida; Poales; Poaceae.